This 1652-nucleotide ribosomal RNA is filed under the name metagenome. Its description in RNAcentral is "bacterial LSU rRNA". It matches the Rfam family "Bacterial large subunit ribosomal RNA", at positions 826 to 2495 of the family's 2925-position model. The record is from RNAcentral.
AUUCCAAUCGAACCCGGAGAUAGCUGGUUCUCCCCGAAAUAGCUUUAGGGCUAGCCUCAAGCGUAGAGAAACGGAGGUAGAGCACUGAAUGUCCUAGGGGGUAUUGCACUUACCGAAGACUAUCAAACUCCGAAUGCCGUAUUCUUUUGCUUGGGAGUCAGACUAUGGGUGAUAAGAUUCAUAGUCAAGAGGGCAACAGCCCAGAUCGUCAGCUAAGGUCCCUAAAUGUACGUUAAGUGGUAAAGGAUGUGGGAUUGCACAGACAACCAGGAUGUUGGCUUAGAAGCAGCCACUCAUUUAAAGAGUGCGUAAUAGCUCACUGGUCGAGUGAUCCUGCGCCGAAAAUUUCCGGGGCUAAAACGUACUACCGAAGCUACGGCAUCAUUUAUGAUGGGUAGGGGAGCUUCGUAUGCAGGCUGAAGCAUGACCGUAAGGACAUGUGGACAGUAUACGAGUGAGAAUGUUGGCAUGAGUAGCGAGAUGUGGGUGAGAAUCCCACAGGCCGUAAACCCAAGGUUUCCAGGGGAAGGUUCGUCCGCCCUGGGUUAGUCAGGACCUAAGCCGAGGCCGAAAGGCGUAGGUGAUGGACAACAGGUUGAUAUUCCUGUACCACCAAUAACCGUUUGAGAAAUGGGAUGACACAGUAGGAUAAGCUAACCGCACUGUUGGUUAUGUGCGGGCAAGUAUUGAGGCAGUUCCGAUAGGCAAAUCCGUCGGAAUAAUGCUGGGGUACGAUGCGGAGCGAAAUUAAGUAGCGAAGUAGCUGAUUUCACACUGUCGAGAAAAGUCUCUAUCGAGGUUAAAGGUGCCUGUACCGCAAACCGACACAGGUGGGUGAGGAGAGUAUCCUAAGGCCAGCGAGAGAACUGUUGUUAAGGAACUCGGCAAAAUGACCCCGUAACUUAGGGAGAAGGGGUGCCUUCGAAAGAAGGCCGCAGAGAAUAGGCCCAAGCGACUGUUUACCAAAAACAUAGGUUUCUGCUAAGUCGCAAGACGAUGUAUAGGAGCUGACGCCUGCCCGGUGCUGGAAGGUUAAGGGGAUCUGUUAGAGCAAUCGAAGCAGUGAACUUAAGCCCCAGUAAACGGCGGCCGUAACUAUAACGGUCCUAAGGUAGCGAAAUUCCUUGUCGGGUAAGUUCCGACCCGCACGAAAGGCGUAACGAUUUGGGCACUGUCUCAACAACAGACUCGGUGAAAUUGUAAUACCGGUGAAGAUGCCGGUUACCUGCGACAGGACGGAAAGACCCCAUGGAGCUUUACUGUAGCUUGACAUUGAGUCUCGGUGCUACAUGUACAGGAUAGGUGGGAGACUAUGAAGCAUGGACGUCAGUCUGUGUGGAGUCAUCCUUGGGAUACCACCCUUGUAGUACUGGGAUUCUAACCAGAGGCCAUGAAUCUGGUCUUGGGACACUGUCAGGUGGACAGUUUGACUGGGGCGGUCGCCUCCUAAAAAGUAACGGAGGCGCUCAAAGGUUUCCUCAGCACGGUCGGAAAUCGUGCGAAGAGUGUAAAGGCAAAAGGAAGCUUGAUUGCAAGACAUACAGGUCGAGCAAGGACGAAAGUCGGACUUAGUGAUCCGGUGGUACCGCAUGGAAGGGCCAUCGCUCAACGGAUAAAAGCUACCCUGGGGAUAACAGGCUGAUCUCCCCCAA